Molecule: long non-coding RNA, 2546 nt
Organism: Brassica napus (rape)
Lineage: Eukaryota; Viridiplantae; Streptophyta; Magnoliopsida; Brassicales; Brassicaceae
Exons: 3
Source: RefSeq, a predicted model, not a curated record
AUCACGCGACUGCGGCAGUCGGCAGUAGCAUCUGUUUUCUUGGGAUUUGGAUCGCUGUUUUUGCUACUUGCUAGUGGUGUUUAUGUCUGAUCCUUCGUCCUCAAUACUAUUCCCAACUAGACAGAACUAGUUUCAAUGAACAAAGAUAGAACGCGAUGAGACGAUGACGAUGGUAGGGCACUGUCAGGGAGAUAGAUUCACGGACCAACACGUGCUCUCUUCAGCUGCGUUAUACAAAAAAAAACUAUUAGUUCGAGAAAAAACGGAAGAAAUAAAAAAAGGAGAGUUAUUUGCAAAUAUACUCUCUUGUUUCACGAAAAGAAUAUUGAUGCCAAGUUAAUCGGAAAAUAAAAGAAGAAAAGAAUCGUUUAGGUUUGAGUCGUUUGAAUCUAUUUUCUUAAAACAAACUACUAAAUUACAUGUUUGGAUCUAUUUUCUUAUUAAUUUGGUAUGCUGAUGAUGUUUAAGAAUUAUAUAUACUAGAGUCAUUCUCACGUGUAUGAUGAUCAACAAUUGCAUAAAGUUGUAAAGCACAGGAGAAAAGUUGUAAAGUAAAAGUUUGGUGUAAAUCAUGUUUUUUUCACAACAAACCAUUAACUUUAAUAUGUGGUGACAAGAUAGAGCAUUGUGAAAUGUGUGAAACAUAUUCUCAAGGUUUCAAGUAUACCGACUUUAAGUACUGCAGCAUUGAUGUUAAGUGUGCCAUGCUUUCUGAAUCUAUCAUCCAUGAAAGUCAUCCAUGCACCUUGUACUACAUUACCAACACGUAUAUAAAAUGCGCUUCUUGCAAUGAAGGGGGCUGUCGAUCGUUUAGUUGCGAUGACUGCAGCUUUGGACUACAUGAAAGAUGUGCUGUUUUGCCAAAAACAAUACAACACUGGUAUGAUGAACAUCUUAUAUUUUUAUGUUACAACAAAAACAAGAGAGGAGGAGAAUAUUGGUGUGAUAUAUGCGAGGAACAAAUAGAUACCAUGAUCUGGUUCUACACAUGUGAUAGUUGCUGUGUCACGUUCCAUACUGAAUGUGUUCUCGGCGACUUUUCACGUUUUAUGCCGGGACGGAUAGUCACACAUAGAAAUUGGAGGAUCAAAGCGAUGCAAACCAGUCCGGGUUUCUUACCACGUUGUUACAUUUGUCAUACUCAACGCGCAGUUCCCUUUGUUUUAAACUUAUGUAAUCCCCAAAAUAAUGUUUUCAUCUGUUCUUUAGAAUGUUUAGUCAGAACUAGGCUAGGCAGAACCUCAUUUCGUGAAGUUGUGUAUUUUAUUUUAUAUAGAUUUGUAUUAAAUUCAUAUCUACGAAACAAUGAAUAAAUACUGUGUGUGUGUGUGUUUUUUUGAUAGAUUUUUUUUUCGUGAAGCCAUUUCUUACCCAACGGCCUUUCAAAGUAAUCUUGGGCUUACUGAACUGAAUCGACUCGUGUGUGUGUAAAAGAAUCAUUCAUCAUCAUCAGUCAAAGAAACACUAAUGGUAACUCUAGAUCCGUCCAAAUGUUCUCCAUACUAAAUUGAUCUCUUCUUCACUUAGGAUCUCCGUUUUUGUUGUUCCGGCGAGAAGGCGGCGAGUCUGAUUGCGGUGGCGAUGUAGCCGACUUUAUCGGUGUUCACACUGACGAUUGGCCUCGUCAUUACCGCUUUCUUCUUCAUGUAAGCUAAACUCGAUCCGAUCGGAACCCCAACUGAUGUUAUAUUUGCUUGAUUGGUAUCAGCUUGUGGCGUUCUCAGUCCUGGAUCUCUCUCCUCUUGUAACGUGUUCAUUGUAUUUAAAGCUUGAUCAGCAUUGCUAUUUGCUUAUAUAUAUAUAGUGUUUGGUAACAAUGCAUUCUCAUGGAGUUGAUGAAUUAUGUUGUGACUUAUUUAUUUAACUUUUGAACAUGUGUGAGUUCUAUAUCCUGUCAUGAUGUAUCGAAGUAAAGACUCUGGCAUGUCAGUUACUGAAUCAGUACUUUGUAGGUUCACAGAAUGUAAAAUGAUCGGUUUACUACUAGACAGUUGGAUUGUGUAAUUCUCGUUUUUAAGCAAUGAGUUUCAACCUCUAAGAUGGACACGUGCCCUUUAUAUUAAUUUUUUCCUUGGAGUCCGGUGGUCAUAUUGGACUCUUAUUCACAGUUCUGGUAUAGAUUGAAGAAGUUAUCAAAGUGUUGUAUUUGUUAUUUCUUUCUUUCUAACUUGCAUGUUACACAACAUUAUUGAUGCAGCUAUGAAGCUACAUCAUCUAGGAAAAACUGUAGCCUCAAGGUUUGAUCUCGCGACUGCGGCAGUAGCAUCUGUUUUCUUGGGAUUUGGAUCGCUGUUUUUGCUACUUGCUAGUGGUGUUUAUGUCUGAUCCUUCGUCCUCAAUACUAUUCCCAACUAGACAGAACUAGUUUCAAUGAACAAAGAUAGAACGCGAUGAGACGAUGACGAUGGUAGGGCACUGUCAGGGAGAUGGAUUCACGGACCAACACGUGCUCUCUUCAGCUGCGUUAUACAAAAAAAAAACUAUUAGGGGCCUGUUUGUUUCUCCAUCUGGAUGGGUCAUCUGGAUGAAGAUGAGAGUUUUGUUUG